Molecule: small nucleolar RNA, 85 nt
Filed under: Sinocyclocheilus grahami
Lineage: Eukaryota; Metazoa; Chordata; Actinopteri; Cypriniformes; Cyprinidae
Description: Small nucleolar RNA SNORD11B (ENSSGRG00000031162.1)
Rfam family: Small nucleolar RNA SNORD11B
Source: Rfam by way of RNAcentral
CGCAAGCGGUGAUGAAGAUGGCUUCAUGUCACUGUCCUGAAAAAACCAUGUGGGUCAUUUAGUCACUAUCUCUUCUGAGCUUGGU